Molecule: long non-coding RNA, 1548 nt
Filed under: Physcomitrium patens
Lineage: Eukaryota; Viridiplantae; Streptophyta; Bryopsida; Funariales; Funariaceae
Description: long non-coding RNA (PPAT_LNC006411)
Source: RNAcentral
UAGAAGAAUAUAUCGUGUUAUUAUAAGCAAACUCUACCAAUGGUAAAAGAAUUGUCCAAUCAACUUAUUGGUAGUUGAUGGUACAUCUUAAAUACUACUCCAAAACUUGAUUAAUAUACUAUUGUAAUACGUGAAGUCUUGCUUGAGAAUGCUCCGGGCACUUGGCUGUGGAAGGAAGAAUAGAAAUUGCAAUAACAAAGUCGUAAUUCUAAUAGAAUACUAACAAUGCUCUAAUUAGACCAUAAUAAUGCUAAGCAAGCUUAAUCAAAUUCAAAAAAACCUCAAAGAAACUUCAAAAAAAUAAUAAGAAUUCUUAAAGAAAUAUUAGAAGGAUCACAAAUAUCACUCAAAUACAUCUCAAUUAAAUCUUAAUUUAAUUCUAGUUAAAAUCCUAUUGAACUUCAUUCAAAUUUUAGGCCAAAAUUAAUUAAAUCUUAAAUCCUAAUAAAAUCUUAAAUCCUAAAUCAAACCCUAAAUAAACCUUAAACCCUAAAUAAAAUCCUAACCAAAUCCUAAACCAAAUCGUAAAUCCUAAAUCAAAUCCUAAACCCUAAACCAAACUUUAAUCCAAACUCUAAAUUCUAAACCAAAUUCUAAUCCAAAUCCUAAAUCCUAAACCAAAUCCUAACCAAAUCUUAAAUCCUAAAUAAAUCCUAAUCAAAUCCUAAACCAAAUCCUAAAUCCUAAAUCAAACCCUAAUCAAAAUCCUAAAUCCUAAACCAAACCCUAAAUCAAAUCCUAAACCAAAUCCUAAAUCAAAUCCUAAAUCAAAUCCUAAACCAUAAACCAAAUCCUAAUCAAACCCUAAACCAAAACCUAAUCCUAAAUUAAAUCCUAACCCUAAAUCCUAACCAAAUCCUAAACAAAUACUAAAUCCUAAACCAAACCCUAAACCAAACCCUAACCCUAAACUAAUUCCUAACCAAACCAUAGUAAUUCCUACAACAGAUUUAAACCUCAAUAACUAAUAAAUAAACCAUUGAUCUUAAUUCAAAUUUUACUCACUUCUUAAAAACUAAGUUGAAAAUAAUUACAAAUUUUUUGUAAAGGAUCGGAAUUACCAAAUAGACGAUAAACUCAAAAACGUGCUCAGGUAUUGGUUGGCCUCCUUUUCCAACCUUGAUGUCAAUCUUUCAGAGCCAAUAUCUCUCCUUUGCAUUAUUUGAUUGAUCUCAAAAUUAUCAUACACAUAGAAAAAUAAGUCUAAUAUCCUCUCACAUAAGUUUCACUCUAAUCCAACUAGUAGAUUGCAAUAAAUCUUAAAAACUCUCACUAGAUCUAAAAUUCUACUUUCUAAGACCUUGACCCUCUUAAACCUCAAUAUCUCUCAAAUCAACCGUUAGAUCUAACUCAAAUUCACAAUACAUAUUAAACACAUUUAUGACCAUAAAUUUAAAAUUUUUUACCUAUAGAUCUAUUACAAAACUCUUGAAAUCAUCCAAAAUAUAAACCCUAUUUUAUUUCAUAAAAUUCAAGUCAUCCAAAACAAACCUUGACUUUGUAAAGCUUUUACAAAGUCAUAACAACUCCAAAUCAUCCAAAAUCAAU